UGAGGUAGUGUUAAAUAUUGUUUUACAUGAAUUAAACAAUAUUUUAUUCUACUUCAUC
RNAcentral lists this microRNA precursor (58 nucleotides) under Strongyloides ratti. Its description in RNAcentral is "microRNA str-mir-84 precursor". Its record names the gene str-mir-84. Lineage: Eukaryota; Metazoa; Nematoda; Chromadorea; Rhabditida; Strongyloididae. The record is from miRBase by way of RNAcentral.